GAGUUUGAUCGUGGCUCAGGAUGAACGCUGGCGGCGUGCCUAAUACAUGCAAGUCGAGCGAACAGACGAGGAGCUUGCUCCUCUGACGUUAGCGGCGGACGGGUGAGUAACACGUGGAUAACCUACCUAUAAGACUGGGAUAACUUCGGGAACCGGAGCUAAUACCGGAUAAUAUAUUGAACCGCAUGGUUCAAUAGUGAAAGACGGUUUUGCUGUCACUUAUAGAUGGAUCCGCGCCGCAUUAGCUAGUUGGUAAGGUUAACGGC
Molecule: ribosomal RNA, 266 nt
Filed under: uncultured microorganism
Description: partial 16S ribosomal RNA
Rfam family: Bacterial small subunit ribosomal RNA
Source: RNAcentral